Molecule: long non-coding RNA, 308 nt
Organism: Pseudopipra pipra
Lineage: Eukaryota; Metazoa; Chordata; Aves; Passeriformes; Pipridae
Exons: 4
Source: RefSeq, a predicted model, not a curated record
CCUCAUACACAGGAAGGAGGUGUAUAUGAGGAGGUUUCUAAAUGCCAGUCUGGCAGCUGAAGGUGGAAGGAUUCCUCCUGGAAUAACAGAUGCACAAACAGCCAGCUCAGUGCUCUGAAGGCUUCCUUGGCUGAACACUAGCCUGGUGUCCCUGCCAUCACUCCUACCAGCAUUGCCAAAGCUAAGAAGAACACAAAUGACAAUAAACUUUACCACACUGAAAAAUGUAUGCAGAGAGUAGCAGAUAAAUGUAAGUUUGUUUGUUGUGAGAUGUCUGUUUUUGUUAAAAUCACCAAGUGUAUGUAUGG